Molecule: long non-coding RNA, 1931 nt
Organism: Adelges cooleyi (spruce gall adelgid)
Lineage: Eukaryota; Metazoa; Arthropoda; Insecta; Hemiptera; Adelgidae
Exons: 7
Source: RefSeq, a predicted model, not a curated record
AUAGCAUAACCUACAAUAUUACAAAAUUUGAUUUAACGUUGAGGUUUUUCGGACACGAAUUAAAAGUUGAAACUACAUACGAUUAUACGAAUUUUCGGUUUUAAAUUUAUAUUUGUUGAUAGUUUUAAGAGUAAAGUACUUUCCUACUUUACAGUUUUGUCUAUAAUGUUUCCUAUAUUCGCCAAGCCUAGAUAUAGGGACUUAUUAAGCAUAUCACUUCACGGUAUUAAUAUUGAAAAAAUUCAAAGUUCCUAGCUUUUAAACUACAGAUGGUAAUUGUAAUACAAACAGACACCAACAACUCAGUGGCCACACAUACGUGUUUAUUAAACUUGUAGUUCGCAUUUCAAAAUACUCAAGCCACUCUAGGAUACUGAGUUGAAAUGGUGACCACUGAGAUAACUAUACUCUACACUUUUGUUGUUUCUGAAGGCAGUCAAACAAAUUCACAAAUUUAGAUCAUGACUGCACUACCAGUUCCAAGAUUGGACCAAGUUGAUAAAGAAUAACAACAAGUUCUACAAAAUAUAAGGCCUGACACUUACACAUUGAUUCUUGGAGUACACCGUAGAGAAGAAUUAGUGAGACAAUCUUGGAUUCUAUUACUUCAGAAAUAAAUCAGCAGAGCAACAAAUGUAUGUUGUUUAAUCAAUAGUCACUAUAUGAAAUGAAAUGUUUUAUAUUAAUAAUAAUACAUUUAGAAAAUUGUAUGCAAACAAAUUUAGGGAAGGAAAUUAAAUAAUAAAUUGUUAAAAUAUUAUGUUAUAAUGAAUUAAUUAAUGUUUAAACAUCAUUGUAUGAUUUUUGGAUUUUUGAGAUGCAAAGAGUAUAAGACUAAUGGCUGUCGAUCUACUGCAUGGAUAUACACAGAUGCAAAUGUCGAUAGGUUCACCUUAAGCAAAGCUCAUAACCAUCAAAGAGGACAUGACAGCAUACAAGAGAGGAAAUUAAGGAACAGGCUUGGAAAUCAAUGUGUUGAUCAAUAGUCCUAGACCAUAUUCAGCUCGAUUUCUGUACCUUUGCAAUAUGAGAAUGUCACCAUUAUCACGGAUUACGAGAGAGCACAAAUAAACACAUUUGAAGGAGUUUUGGUGUAGUCUACGCAUCUGGGCUGCUAUUUUCAUUUUUGCCAGAUAUUGGACUUGAUAAUAUUUCUGUGUUCAGGAGAGACAUUAGGACAAAUAAUUAUUUAGAAAGUUACCAUUCAUUGUUAUUGCAAAUUAUGAAGCCUCAUCCUAAAGUAUGGGAGUUUAUUAAUCAAUUGAGGUUUUUAGAAAAUAAAGCGAGGUUGAAUUUAAGCAAGCUCGGAGCAACCUCAGAAUCCGUGUUGGUGUUUCAACAAGAACAAGGGAAUCCAAUACAAUAGCAAUUGAAGAAUUAAUAGAAGAAAUGACACAUGACUAUACAGAAAGACGAAUUCAAAGAUUUUACGGAGAGCUGAUCAUCAAGUCGAUGGGUAUAUAACUCGAGAAAUUAGCAAUUAACUAGGUAUAUCUGUUUUUAUUUUUUUGAGGGGAAUCGUGCUGUAACCAUACCAAAUAAGUAUUAACCUACAUAUUUUGUACAGACUUGAAAGACAGAUUUAUAGUUAAAGACAUAAAAGUUUAUUAAAUUUAUGUAAUGUAAUGGAAUGACAUUAUGUAUUUUCAAACAUUGUUUCUGUAAACAAAUUUAAAAGUGUAAUUAUAUUACUUGUGAACAAUGCUAAUCAUUUUUAACAUUAUUAGUGAGUUAACUAAUAAAUCACCAAUCCUUCUGGGGGGCAGGGUUAAUGUUAUUUUCUUGAUUUUUCACUUUAAAUCGGUACUCGGUAGUACUUAAACUUAAAAAUAUCCUACAUAGAUUCACAACUAAUUCGAACACUGUUAAAAAAGUUAUAACGUGCCUUAGUUACAAGAUGAAAAAUAUGUUAAUUUUUAGGGUAUUUUUCU